RNAcentral lists this ribosomal RNA (510 nucleotides) under uncultured bacterium. RNAcentral's name for it is "partial 16S ribosomal RNA". It matches the Rfam family "Bacterial small subunit ribosomal RNA", at positions 28 to 507 of the family's 1533-position model. The record is from RNAcentral.
GACGAACGCUGGCGGCGUGCUUAACACAUGCAAGUCGAACGAAGAGCGAUGGAAGCUUGCUUCUAUCAAUCUUAGUGGCGAACGGGUGAGUAACGCGUAAUCAACCUGCCCUUCAGAGGGGGACAACAGUUGGAAACGACUGCUAAUACCGCAUACGAUCUAAUCUCGGCAUCGAGGAUAGAUGAAAGGUGGCCUCUACAUGUAAGCUAUCGCUGAAGGAGGGGAUUGCGUCUGAUUAGCUAGUUGGAGGGGUAACGGCCCACCAAGGCGAUGAUCAGUAGCCGGUCUGAGAGGAUGAACGGCCACAUUGGGACUGAGACACGGCCCAGACUCCUACGGGAGGCAGCAGUGGGGAAUCUUCCGCAAUGGACGAAAGUCUGACGGAGCAACGCCGCGUGAGUGAUGACGGCCUUCGGGUUGUAAAGCUCUGUUAAUCGGGACGAAAGGCCUUCUUGCGAAUAGUGAGAAGGAUUGACGGUACCGGAAGAGAAAGCCACGGCUAACUACGUG